Molecule: ribosomal RNA, 267 nt
Filed under: uncultured bacterium
Lineage: Bacteria
Description: partial 16S ribosomal RNA
Rfam family: Bacterial small subunit ribosomal RNA
Source: RNAcentral
ACGGCUGUCGUCAGCUCGUGUCGUGAGAUGUUGGGUUAAGUCCCGCAACGAGCGCAACCCUCGCCCCUAGUUGCCAUCAUUCAGUUGGGAACUCUAGGGGGACUGCCGGUGAUAAGCCGCGAGGAAGGUGGGGAUGACNUCAAGUCCUCAUGGCCNUUACAGGCUGGGCUACACACGUGCUACAAUGGCGGUGACAAUGGGCAGCGAAAGGGCGACCUCGAGCUAAUCCCAAAAAGCCGUCUCAGUUCACAUUGUACUCUGCAACUC